Molecule: long non-coding RNA, 523 nt
Organism: Passer montanus (Eurasian tree sparrow)
Lineage: Eukaryota; Metazoa; Chordata; Aves; Passeriformes; Passeridae
Exons: 3
Source: RefSeq, a predicted model, not a curated record
UGAAACAGGCAUUUGUGCAGGUUCCCCAUAAAAAUGACUGAUUUGGGUUUUACCAGGAGCUCUGGCACUUCUCCACUACAAGAAAGAAUUGCAUUUAUAGAGAGGUUUAUCAAGAUGGGAAUAGUGAAACAAACAUUUUAAAUGUCCAGCAGAAUCCUCUGUCUUCCCCCAAACAAGCCUCCCUGGGCAGGAAUUUCAGCCGUUCUGGAAUGAGAGCCUCCUGAAAGGAACCUGGCUCCCUGUGGGACUGCCCAGCUUCCAGCCCUGCUGCUGGGGGAAGAGCUCACCACAGGACACCUCAUGCAUCUGCUCUGGUUUGGAACCGUGUGUGCCAUCAAAUGUAGCUGGAGCCCGUGGGGCUGGAGCAGGUGCUGACGUUGGCCAGGCUGCUGGGACCCCAGGAGGAGAGCUCUGGGCCAAUUCCCUUCCUGUCCCACAGCCAGCAGUAAAUGCCACCAUCACUGCAAGAAGCCUGGUGAGCUGUGAAAUAAAGAUUGAUCCUUCCCACACCAAGAACUGCCUG